RNAcentral lists this ribosomal RNA (251 nucleotides) under uncultured bacterium. RNAcentral's name for it is "partial 16S ribosomal RNA". It matches the Rfam family "Bacterial small subunit ribosomal RNA", at positions 525 to 775 of the family's 1533-position model. The record is from RNAcentral.
ACGUAGGGCGCAAGCGUUAUCCGGAUUUAUUGGGCGUAAAGGGCUCGUAGGCGGCUCGUCGCGUCCGGUGUGAAAGUCCAUCGCUUAACGGUGGAUCUGCGCCGGGUACGGGCGGGCUGGAGUGCGGUAGGGGAGACUGGAAUUCCCGGUGUAACGGUGGAAUGUGUAGAUAUCGGGAAGAACACCAAUGGCGAAGGCAGGUCUCUGGGCCGUUACUGACGCUGAGGAGCGAAAGCGUGGGGAGCGAACAG